AACGAACGCUGGCGGCAUGCCUAACACAUGCAAGUCGAACGGGAUCCUAGCUUGCUAGGUGAGAGUGGCGGACGGGUGAGUAACACGUGGGAACCUGCCUCUUGGUUCGGGAUAACCGCGGGAAACUGCGGCUAAUACCGAAUGCUCCCGAGAGGGAAAAGACUUAUCGCCAGAAGAGGGGCCCGCGUCCGAUUAGGUAG
This 200-nucleotide ribosomal RNA is filed under the name uncultured bacterium. Its description in RNAcentral is "partial 16S ribosomal RNA". It matches the Rfam family "Bacterial small subunit ribosomal RNA", at positions 29 to 248 of the family's 1533-position model. The record is from RNAcentral.